Molecule: ribosomal RNA, 107 nt
Filed under: Erinaceus europaeus (western European hedgehog)
Lineage: Eukaryota; Metazoa; Chordata; Mammalia; Eulipotyphla; Erinaceidae
Source: RNAcentral
UGUGGUCAUACCACUCUGAGAUUACCUGAACUCACUCGAUCCUGAAAACUAAGCAGGAUUGGGCCUAGGUAGCAUUUAUGUAGGAGAAUAUAUGUUAUUAACCACAA